UCGGUCCUCACGGGGCGUCCCGGGCGGCUGGCGUCCCGCCCUAAGGAGCGGCCGUACCUUCGCCCGCAGCCGUCUGAUUUGAGAAGAGGAAGUUAUGGAAGGUUCAGCCCAUGCCCCCACUGGAAACACGUAACUCAUGUUACUCUGCUUAUACCGACAAGCACAACAGAUAAAUACCUGAAGAAACAGAUGCCAAUGCUACGGAAUGCGCCACUCGGCAGUUAAGAAUUCUUUUAGUCACUGAAUGAUACCAGAGAAGUUUAUCAUUUGGGAGCCAGAGAAUGCAACAGAUUAACCUGAAAAUGCAAAGCCUGAGAACUCAAAUAGCAACAGGAGCAUGAUGUUAAACUCAUGGUUUGGCAAUAUUUCUUGAAGUCAGUUUCCUGAUUUUGGGGGCCCUGACAACUUCAGCUAAUACUGAAUUAUAAGCAGUACAGAAUUUGGAGUUAAAAAAGGCAUUUAUAAUUCUACAUUUCUAUGAUCUAGCUGGAGUUGUAACUGAACAGCAUAGUAAAGGGAAAAUUUUGCAAGCAAAGAAGUUAGCACAAGCCAAGAUUCUAUUUUUUUUCACCAAGACUACAAAGAAUGAUGUCUAAGUAAGUUACAGUUCAGGGAAAGUAGAUAAGGCCAGGAUGGAGCAUUGAAGGAAAAUAAAGCUGAAGGAUUUUCAUCAGUUUAGCACUAGUUUAUUUUGACAGCAGCAUAAUACAAUAGAACCAGGUAAUUCAGACAGAACUGAUUAAUCUGAUUGCAUAGGGUACUUUUUUCACUUGCUUUAAGGAACAUUCACUGUGCUUAUCAUGCAACUGUUGAGUGGUUGUACCAAUUUUUAAAGACUGGUUGUAAUGGGUUAAAAGCUUCUGAUUCCUUAUUUCUUAUCAGAAACAUUAAAAGGACCCCUCAGGAUUUUUUUUUCUUAAGGGAAAUGUGAUCUGAAGAGGAAGGGGAAAGUUCAGAAUAGUUCCAUCUGAGCCUUGUUCUCCUGGCAGCCAUCAUUUUGUCCACACUACCUUAUUGCUUCCAUUUGGAGUUGAAAGCAUAUGAGAUGCAGCCCUGCAAGAGCAAGCAGAGGAGCUGAUUUCUAGAUCAUCAAGAGUACCUGAGAGACUCUCACAAAGCAGCAGUGCUACCUGACACUUCCCCACAUAGAAUCAUAACAUUGUUUGGGUUGGAAGGGACCGCAAAGAUCAUCUAGUUCCAACCCCCACCAUAGACAGGGACACCUCCCACUAGAACAAAUCACUCAAGACCUCAUUUAAUCUAGCCUUGAACACCUCCAGGGAGGGAGCAUCCAUAACCUCCCUGGGCAACCUGUUCCAGUGUCUCACCACCCUCAUUGUAAAGAACUUCUUCCUAACAUUUAGUUUAAAUCUCCCCUCUGCCAGUUUAAACCCAUUACUCCUUAUUCUGUCAUUACAAGGCCUUGUAAAUAGUCCCUCCCCAGCCUUCUUGUAGGCCCCAU
Molecule: long non-coding RNA, 1462 nt
Organism: Pogoniulus pusillus (Red-fronted tinkerbird)
Lineage: Eukaryota; Metazoa; Chordata; Aves; Piciformes; Lybiidae
Exons: 4
Source: RefSeq, a predicted model, not a curated record